Molecule: unclassified non-coding RNA, 133 nt
Filed under: Moritella viscosa
Lineage: Bacteria; Pseudomonadati; Pseudomonadota; Gammaproteobacteria; Alteromonadales; Moritellaceae
Description: putative sRNA
Source: RNAcentral
GCAUAAAAAAAUUAAAGGGCAAUGUAAGUAUUGGAAAUAGUGAAAUAAGUUGAAAAAUAAUUCUAAGAGGGAAUAAUUUGAAGGGAAAUUUAAAAACAAAAAGGAGCCAAUUGGCUCCUUUCUUAUAAUUUGU